AGCUUCCGAAGGCUUCCCAGACAAAAAAUCUUCGAACUCUUUUAUCUCUAAAGAGCUCGGUUUGAUCAAAGAUACUGCAUAAUCAAUACAACUCUGUGUUAUAAUCCACAUUAUAAAAGCAUUUUCAAAAAAUUCGUAUACAUAUAAAAUAGACCGAUACUUACAUUUAUGGUCAUAUAACCAUGCUUGCUUUGAGAGGAGUCCGUACUUCCACUCCUCCUUGGGAAAAUUGUCAAAAAGUUCC
This 244-nucleotide long non-coding RNA is filed under the name Panax ginseng (ginseng). RNAcentral's name for it is "long non-coding RNA (PGIN_LNC014409)". The record is from RNAcentral. Lineage: Eukaryota; Viridiplantae; Streptophyta; Magnoliopsida; Apiales; Araliaceae.